UUUAUAUUUAGCUGAGUGAACUUAAAGUCAUAGCAAUUCAAAUCAUGGAGGAUUUGAAUAGUUAAAUUCAGCACAUGGAAGUGCUGUAUUUAACGGUGCGUAUAGUGACUUGAAGUUCUUGAAGGUAGUCAUUCA
This is a regulatory RNA element of Kangiella geojedonensis, 135 nucleotides long. The record is from Rfam. NCBI's taxonomy places the organism in Bacteria, Pseudomonadati, Pseudomonadota, Gammaproteobacteria, Kangiellales, Kangiellaceae.